UACGUAGGGUGCGAGCGUUAAUCGGAAUUACUGGGCGUAAAGCGUGCGCAGGCGGUUAUAUAAGACAGAGGUGAAAUCCCCGGGCUCAACCUGGGAACUGCCUUUGUGACUGUAUAGCUUGAGUGCGGCAGAGGGGGAUGGAAUUCCGCGUGUAGCAGUGAAAUGCGUAGAGAUGCGGAGGAACACCGAUGGCGAAGGCAGCCCCCUGGGCCGACACUGACGCUCAGGCACGAAAGCGUGGGGAGCAAACAGG
Molecule: ribosomal RNA, 253 nt
Filed under: uncultured bacterium
Lineage: Bacteria
Description: partial 16S ribosomal RNA
Rfam family: Bacterial small subunit ribosomal RNA
Source: RNAcentral